This 1531-nucleotide long non-coding RNA is filed under the name Anser cygnoides (Swan goose). Its description in RNAcentral is "lncRNA (ENSACDG00005013931.1)". Lineage: Eukaryota; Metazoa; Chordata; Aves; Anseriformes; Anatidae. The record is from RNAcentral.
AUGCGUGGUGACAGCCCUGCCUGCCUCCGCCGCCCGGAGGCUCUGCUGGCUCAUGUUCCUGUCUUUGUGUCCUCUUGCCUGACCACUUCCUCUUGCUGGGAGCGAGCGAUCCUUUGGGUAGCAGUUGCAGAAAUAGUUUCAGACACAGAAAUAGCUAAUAACGUCAGCUCAAAGCACCCAGCCCCUCAUGCUCUAGCUUCCUGUCAGCUGCAGCGGUCGGUGGUGCUCCUCACAGCAGCCUCGUCCAAGGCCACAGCCUGCAUCAACGCCGAGUGUCCUCGCGCCAGUCCUGCAGCGCUGCCCCAGGGCAGGGAGCGAUGGAGUCAGGGCUGUGGGGCAGGAGACUCGGUGCUGGACCCCGUCCCGUGCUGCCCACCCGUCAGUACCGUCCCCCGGGCUUUGCGUGGUGAUCUCCAAAGGCAACGUCCCUCAGAGUGCUGCGGCCUUCUGCAAGCAAUUUGCUGGGUUACAAGUUCGGAGGAAAACAUCCUCCAGGACCAGCGCUGCUUCCCGCCCCGCAGCCCCGCUGCAGCACCCGCGGCCACGUUUUCGAGGGGACCACGCACAGCACCACGAGCACCGGCACUGCUCCCGGCCUGGGGGCUCGGCAGCUGGCGGCUCGGAUCUUGGAGGCCUCUCUCAGCACCACAGCAGGGCCUUGAGCUCCCGGUAAGGUUUGGAGCUCCCGGUAAGGCUUUGAGCUCCCGGUGAGGCUUUGAGCUCCCGGUACAGCCUUGAGCUCCCGGCGGAGACGAGCCCCGCGGCGUGCUCGGCGGUGCCGCUGCGCCUUUGGAAGAUGGCUGCUAGGAGGGCAGCCACGAGGCGACAUUUCGCGCCUCCCGCUCGUUUCGCACACCCAGCACCGGCCCGUUCCCGGUGCCGUUUCCAAACAACCUAACGGUCCCUCCGGUACCGGGACUACCGGGAGACCCUUCCCACCCACCGCGGGGGCUCCCAACGGACCCCUUCGACCCCUCGCCGCGGGACGGGACCAAAGGGACCGCGCCGUGCCCGGCCGGGCCGUGCCGUGCCGGACCCCGGGGGGUCCCCGCUCGGUUCCCGGUUGGGCGGCGGGGCCCUCCCGCGCUCCCGGUUGGGCGCGGCCCCGCCCCCGGCGCUCAGUUCCCGCCAGCGGCGGCCAAUGGGCGGGCGCCCGCCGCGCACGGGGCUUUUCCGCGCCAAACUCCAAAGGGCCGGGGAGAGGCGCGGGGCGGCGGCGGGGCGCAGCGCGGCACCGGCCUCCAGCACCGCCACGCCGGUGAGUCCCGCCGCCGGCCCCCGAGCCCGGGACGCGGUAAGGGGACGGCGGAGGAGCCUCCCUUCCCCUCCUUCCCCUUCGGUUCCCCUCCCUCCCCUCCCCGUCCCGGUGACAGCUGCCGGCACCGGGGGCCAGCAGCGCCCGUCCCCGCCGGGUACCGGGCGCGGAGCCGCUGCCCCGAGACUCCUCUACCGGGGGCUGAGCGCUGCCGGGACGGGCCGCGGGGCUCCGCGAGCGGCCCCAGCCCCUCGGAGCGCGGCCGGGCCGGGGGCU